GGCGUUGAAAAGCCCCGGGAUGACUUGUGGAUAGGGGUGAAAGGCCAAUCAAACUUCGUGAUAGCUGGUUCUCUCCGAAAUAUAUUUAGGUAUAGCGUUGUGUCGUAAUAUAAGGGGGUAGAGCACUGAAUGGGCUAGGGCAUACACCAAUGUACCAAACCCUAUCAAACUCCGAAUACCUUAUAUGUAAUCACAGCAGUCAGGCGGCGAGUGAUAAAAUCCGUCGUCAAGAGGGAAACAACCCAGACUACCAGCUAAGGUCCCUAAGUCUUACUUAAGUGGAAAACGAUGUGAAGUUACUUAAACAACCAGGAGGUUGGCUUAGAAGCAGCCAUCCUUUAAAGAAAGCGUAAUAGCUCACUGGUCUAGUGAUUUUGCGCGGAAAAUAUAACGGGGCUAAAGUAAGUACCGAAGCUGUAGACUUAGUUUACUAAGUGGUAGGAGAGCGUUCUAUUUGCGUCGAAGGUAUACCGGUAAGGAGUGCUGGAGCGAAUAGAAGUGAGCAUGCAGGCAUGAGUAGCGAUAAUUAAUGUGAGAAUCAUUAACGCCGUAAACCCAAGGUUUCCUACGCGAUGCUCGUCAUCGUAGGGUUAGUCGGGUCCUAAGUCGAGUCCGAAAGGGGUAGACGAUGGCAAAUUGGUUAAUAUUCCAAUACCAACAUUAGUGUGCGAUGGAAGGACGCUUAGGGCUAAGGGGGCUAGCGGAUGGAAGUGCUAGUCUAAGGUCGUAGGAGGUUAUACAGGCAAAUCCGUAUAACAAUACUCCGAGAACUGAAAGGCUUUUUGAAGUCUUCGGAUGGAUAGAAGAACCCCUGAUGCCGUCGAGCCAAGAAAAGUUUCUAAGUUUAGCUAAUGUUGCCCGUACCGUAAACCGACACAGGUGGGUGGGAUGAGUAUUCUAAGGCGCGUGGAAGAACUCUCUUUAAGGAACUCUGCAAAAUAGCACCGUAUCUUCGGUAUAAGGUGUGGUUAGCUUUGUAUUAGGAUUUACUCCGAAAGCAAGGAAACUUACAACAAAGAGUCCCUCCCGACUGUUUACCAAAAACACAGCACUCUGCUAACUCGUAAGAGGAUGUAUAGGGUGUGACGCCUGCCCGGUGCUCGAAGGUUAAUUGAUGGGGUUAGCAUUAGCGAAGCUCUUGAUCGAAGCCCGAGUAAACGGCGGCCGUAACUAUAACGGUCCUAAGGUAGCGAAAUUCCUUGUCGGUUAAAUACCGACCUGCAUGAAUGGCGUAACGAGAUGGGAGCUGUCUCAAAGAGGGAUCCAGUGAAAUUGUAGUGGAGGUGAAAAUUCCUCCUACCCGCGGCAAGACGGAAAGACCCCGUGGACCUUUACUACAGCUUGACACUGCUACUUGGAUAAGAAUGUGCAGGAUAGGUGGGAGGCUUUGAGUAUAUGACGCCAGUUGUAUAUGAGCCAUUGUUGAGAUACCACUCUUUCUUAUUUGGGUAGCUAACCAGCUUGAGUUAUCCUCAAGUGGGACAAUGUCUGGUGGGUAGUUUGACUGGGGCGGUCGCCUCCCAAAUAAUAACGGAGGCUUACAAAGGUUGGCUCAGAACGGUUGGAAAUCGUUCGUAGAGUAUAAAGGUAUAAGCCAGCUUAACUGCAAGACAUACAAGUCAAGCAGAGACGAAAGUCGGUCUUAGUGAUCCGGUGGUUCUGUGUGGAAGGGCCAUCGCUCAAAGGAUAAAAGGUACCCCGGGGAUAACAGGCUGAUCUCCCCCAAGAGCUCACAUCGACGGGGAGGUUUGGCACCUCGAUGUCGGCUCAUCGCAUCCUGGGGCUGGAGCAGGUCCCAAGGGUAUGGCUGUUCGCCAUUUAAAGCGGUACGCGAGCUGGGUUCAGAACGUCGUGAGACAGUUCGGUCCCUAUCUGCCGUGGGCGUAAGAAGAUUGAAGAGAUUUGACCCUAGUACGAGAGGACCGGGUUGAACAAACCACUGGUGUAGCUGUUGUUCUGCCAAGAGCAUCGCAGCGUAGCUAAGUUUGGAAAGGAUAAACGCUGAAAGCAUCUAAGCGUGAAGCCAACUCUAAGAUGAAUCUUCUCUAAGCUCUCUAGAAGACUACUAGUUUGAUAGGCUGGGUGUGUAAUGGAUGAAAGUCCUUUAGCUGACCAGUACUAAUAGAGCGUUUGGCUUAUCUUUAAUAAAGCAU
Molecule: ribosomal RNA, 2153 nt
Filed under: Campylobacter jejuni
Lineage: Bacteria; Pseudomonadati; Campylobacterota; Epsilonproteobacteria; Campylobacterales; Campylobacteraceae
Description: partial 23S ribosomal RNA
Rfam family: Bacterial large subunit ribosomal RNA
Source: RNAcentral